AGUGUUGGUGAAUGAACCCAGGACUUCACCCUAUGUGAGGAAGGUUUCCUAUCACAGCCACAAUGGAAUUGGUGACGUUUGGAGCUAGGGUUCCUUGAAAGUGAUUAAUUAGAUCACCUCACAGAGAAAGCCCAAGAGAGGUCCUGUGCCCUUCAACCAUAUGGAGACACUGGGAGGAGAUGAUUGGUCCACUGUGACACCAAGAAGCAAACUUCUCACCAGCCACAUGAUCCAAGAUUUCCCUAACCUCCAGAAUCACAAAGAAUAAACUUAUGUAGUUUCAAGUCCUCAGCUUAUGAAAGUCUGUGCUAGCAGCCAAGUGGACUAAAAGAGUGAAUGCCCCACACUAUACCUUAGACUAUAUGAGACGAUGUGGCUUGCUGGGUGUAGAGGUGUGUGCUUGUAAUUUCCAAACUUGAAGGUCAGGGUAAGACAAGUGCUCUGAGUCUGAGGUCAGUCGGGCUACAUAAUGAAACCCUGUCUCAAAACCACAAAAAUAAACAACUUCCUCUCCAACCUGCACCCCACCCUGAGCCCCAGUACCAGCCCCAGUACCAGCCUUCCAAGCUCAUUUUAACAAGUAGGUGAUUAUCAUUAUUUUAUGGCAACAUUGUAUGUUGUUAAAUUUCACAUUAAAACAAUUUUUAGAUAA
Cricetulus griseus (Chinese hamster) is the source of this 652-nucleotide non-coding RNA. Lineage: Eukaryota; Metazoa; Chordata; Mammalia; Rodentia; Cricetidae. The record is from RefSeq and is a predicted model, not a curated record.